GACGAACGCUGGCGGCGUGCUUAACACAUGCAAGUCGAACGAAGAGCGAUGGACGCUUGCUUCUAUCAAUCUUAGUGGCGAACGGGUGAGUAACGCGUAAUCAACCUGCCCUUCAGAGGGGGACAACAGUUGGAAACGACUGCUAAUACCGCAUACGAUCUAAUCUCGGCAUCGAGGAUAGAUGAAAGGUGGCCUCUACAUGUAAGCUAUCACUGAAGGAGGGGAUUGCGUCUGAUUAGCUAGUUGGAGGGGUAACGGCCCACCAAGGCGAUGAUCAGUAGCCGGUCUGAGAGGAUGAGCGGCCACAUUGGGACUGAGACACGGCCCAGACUCCUACGGGAGGCAGCAGUGGGGAAUCUUCCGCAAUGGACGAAAGUCUGACGGAGCAACGCCGCGGGAGUGAUGACGGCCGUCGGGUUGUAAAGCUCUGUUAAUCGGGACGAAAGGCCUUCUUGCGAACAGUUAGAAGGAUUGACGGUACCGGAAUAGAAAGCCACGGCUAACUACGUG
Molecule: ribosomal RNA, 510 nt
Filed under: uncultured bacterium
Lineage: Bacteria
Description: partial 16S ribosomal RNA
Rfam family: Bacterial small subunit ribosomal RNA
Source: RNAcentral